RNAcentral lists this ribosomal RNA (459 nucleotides) under uncultured Streptococcus sp. RNAcentral's name for it is "bacterial SSU rRNA". It matches the Rfam family "Bacterial small subunit ribosomal RNA", at positions 923 to 1382 of the family's 1533-position model. Lineage: Bacteria; Bacillati; Bacillota; Bacilli; Lactobacillales; Streptococcaceae. The record is from RNAcentral.
GCACAAGCGGUGGAGCAUGUUGGUUUAAUUCGAAGCAACGCGAAGAACCUUACCAGGUCUUGACAUCCCGAUGCUAUUUCUAGAGAUAGAAAGUUACUUCGGUACAUCGGUGACAGGUGGUGCAUGGUUGUCGUCAGCUCGUGUCGUGAGAUGUUGGGUUAAGUCCCGCAACGAGCGCAACCCCUAUUGUUAGUUGCCAUCAUUCAGUUGGGCACUCUAGCGAGACUGCCGGUAAUAAACCGGAGGAAGGUGGGGAUGACGUCAAAUCAUCAUGCCCCUUAUGACCUGGGCUACACACGUGCUACAAUGGUUGGUACAACGAGUUGCGAGUCGGUGACGGCGAGCUAAUCUCUUAAAGCCAAUCUCAGUUCGGAUUGUAGGCUGCAACUCGCCUACAUGAAGUCGGAAUCGCUAGUAAUCGCGGAUCAGCACGCCGCGGUGAAUACGUUCCCGGGCCUU